RNAcentral lists this ribosomal RNA (1372 nucleotides) under uncultured bacterium. RNAcentral describes it as "bacterial SSU rRNA". It matches the Rfam family "Bacterial small subunit ribosomal RNA", at positions 28 to 1381 of the family's 1533-position model. The record is from RNAcentral.
GAUGAACGCUGGCGGCGUGCCUAAUACAUGCAAGUCGAGCGAACGGACGAGAAGCUUGCUUCUCUGAUGUUAGCGGCGGACGGGUGAGUAACACGUGGAUAACCUACCUAUAAGACUGGGAUAACUUCGGGAAACCGGAGCUAAUACCGGAUAAUAUUUUGAACCGCAUGGUUCAAAAGUGAAAGACGGUCUUGCUGUCACUUAUAGAUGGAUCCGCGCUGCAUUAGCUAGUUGGUAAGGUAACGGCUUACCAAGGCAACGAUGCAUAGCCGACCUGAGAGGGUGAUCGGCCACACUGGAACUGAGACACGGUCCAGACUCCUACGGGAGGCAGCAGUAGGGAAUCUUCCGCGAUGGGCGAAAGCCUGACGGAGCAACGCCGCGUGAGUGAUGAAGGUCUUCGGAUCGUNAAACUCUGUUAUUAGGGAAGAACAUAUGUGUAAGUAACUGUGCACAUCUUGACGGUACCUAAUCAGAAAGCCACGGCUAACUACGUGCCAGCAGCCGCGGUAAUACGUAGGUGGCAAGCGUUAUCCGGAAUUAUUGGGCCGAAAGCGCGCGUAGGCGGUUUUUUAAGUCUGAUGUGAAAGCCCACGGGCUAACCGUGGAGGGUCAUUGGAAACUGGAAAACUUGAGUGCAGAAGAGGAAAGUGGAAUUCCAUGUGUAGCGGUGAAAUGCGCAGAGAUAUGGAGGAACACUAGUGGCGAAGGCGACUUUCUGGUCUGUAACUGACGCUGAUGUGCGAAAGCGUGGGGAUCAAACAGGAUUAGAUACCCUGGUAGUCCACGCCGUAAACGAUGAGUGCUAAGUGUUAGGGGGUUUCCGCCCCUUAGUGCUGCAGCUAACGCAUUAAGCACUCCGCCUGGGGAGUACGACCGCAAGGUUGAAACUCAAAGGAAUUGACGGGGACCCGCACAAGCGGUGGAGCAUGUGGUUUAAUUCGAAGCAACGCGAAGAACCUUACCAAAUCUUGACAUCCUUUGACAACUCUAGAGAUAGAGCCUUCCCCUUCGGGGGACAAAGUGACAGGUGGUGCAUGGUUGUCGUCAGCUCGUGUCGUGAGAUGUUGGGUUAAGUCCCGCAACGAGCGCAACCCUUAAGCUUAGUUGCCAUCAUUAAGUUGGGCACUCUAAGUUGACUGCCGGUGACAAACCGGAGGAAGGUGGGGAUGACGUCAAAUCAUCAUGCCCCUUAUGAUUUGGGCUACACACGUGCUACAAUGGACAAUACAAAGGGCAGCGAAACCGCGAGGUCAAGCAAAUCCCAUAAAGUUGUUCUCAGUUCGGAUUGUAGUCUGCAACUCGACUACAUGAAGCUGGAAUCGCUAGUAAUCGUAGAUCAGCAUGCUACGGUGAAUACGUUCCCGGGUCU